CCUGGCGGCACUAGCGCGGUGGUCCCACCUGACCCCAUGCCGAACUCAGAAGUGAAACGCCGUAGCCGCUGGUAGUGUGGGGUCUCCCCAUGUGAGAGUAGGGAACUGCCAGGC
This 114-nucleotide ribosomal RNA is filed under the name Klebsiella pneumoniae. The record is from RNAcentral. Lineage: Bacteria; Pseudomonadati; Pseudomonadota; Gammaproteobacteria; Enterobacterales; Enterobacteriaceae.